UACUGCGCUCGCUCCCAGAAGCUAAGCUAGCUAGCUAAUCACCUCGAGACGGACGGUAGAAUCAAAAGUAGUGACAAGAAGAUGGCGGAGUGAGUGGGUUGCGCUUUGAAGGAAAGCAGCGACCCUUGAUUUUCCUAAAAUAUUCUACGAAGAAAGGAGAAUCACGUUCAAAUUGUAGCUAUCUUCGAAAAUUUGACAAACAAGAAGAAUAUUGCCCCUCUUGCGGAGGUGGUUCAAACAGAUCGAACGGAAUUUCGCAAUUCCGCUGGUGUCCUUUCGAUAGUUCUACACUAGUGGGCUAACGUUAGCUAGCUACCCAGGCACUGGGCGACGGACAUACUAGGCACACUAGGAGUGUUUUCAGAAGAAUCGUGUUCCCAUUUUCGUGAUGUGUUGGUUUUAUUUUUUCCAAGAUUUUUUACUAGCUAGCUAGCGAAUAACGCCUGAAAAGAAACACUGUUCUAGCUAGCUAGCUAACGUUACAUUGUUUCAAGUACAUCGCCCACGAGCAACCAGGACUUCUGUGUAUGUACGAAACCGACGGCGCUGUCCCAGACAAUCCAAUUUUAAACUGAUCAAAGGUUGCUCGUGAUUUUGAGGAUAUGGCAAGCAGCAGCGGCUCUAAAGCCGAAUUCAUUGUCGGUGGGAAAUAUAAGCUUGUCAGAAAAAUUGGAUCUGGGUCAUUUGGUGACAUAUACCUGGCGAUCAACAUCACAAAUGGAGAGGAGGUAGCUGUAAAAUUGGAAUCUCAGAAAGCCAGACACCCACAGUUGUUAUAUGAAAGCAAACUGUACAAAAUCUUACAAGGAGGAGUUGGAAUCCCACACAUAAGGUGGUAUGGCCAAGAAAAAGACUACAAUGUCCUAGUGAUGGACCUGCUGGGACCCAGUCUGGAAGACCUCUUCAACUUCUGCUCACGCAGGUUCACCAUGAAAACUGUACUAAUGCUCGCAGACCAGAUGAUCAGCAGAAUCGAGUAUGUGCACACAAAGAACUUCAUUCACAGAGAUAUCAAGCCAGACAACUUUUUAAUGGGUAUUGGCCGUCACUGUAACAAGUGUUUAGAAUCUCCAGUGGGGAAGAGGAAAAGAAGCUUGGCUGUUAGUUCUUCUCAGGACCCAUCUUUCUCAGGAUUAAACCAGUUGUUCCUCAUCGACUUUGGUCUGGCCAAAAAAUACAGGGACAACAGGACACGACAGCACAUACCCUACAGAGAAGACAAAAAUCUCACAGGCACAGCUCGCUAUGCCAGCAUCAACGCACACCUGGGCAUCGAACAGAGUCGCCGAGAUGACAUGGAGUCGCUAGGAUACGUCCUGAUGUAUUUCAACAGAACCAGCCUGCCCUGGCAGGGACUAAAGGCUGCCACAAAGAAACAGAAGUACGAGAAGAUUAGCGAGAAGAAGAUGUCGACUCCAGUCGAGGUGUUGUGUAAGGGAUUCCCUGCAGAGUUUGCCAUGUACCUGAACUACUGCCGUGGCCUGCGGUUCGAGGAGGCGCCUGACUACAUGUACCUGCGUCAGCUGUUCCGCAUUCUCUUCAGGACCUUGAACCACCAGUACGACUACACGUUUGACUGGACAAUGCUGAAGCAGAAAGCAGCACAGCAGGCCGCAUCCUCAGGGGGACAGGGGCAACCGGCACAAACCCCCACAGGCAAGCAAACUGACAAACCCAAGAGUAACAUGAAAGUCGCCCCCCUCCCUCUCGUAGAGGGUAUCCCGGGUGCCCAGGGUUGAUGGCGGAGGAGUCAACCCAAUUUUUCAAAAUACCUGAAGCAGUUUUCAUCAGGUUUCUGAGCAGUAAGACAAUGAAAUGAAGCAGAGCAGAGUGGCCGUAGCAGGAUUUGCCUUCCAAUCACACCCCGGCAUCCAGGAUCAAAUUCACCAGAACCUGCCAGGCAUUGUGGGCAACCCUUUUUUCCUGUUAAAGAACUUUCGUUCCAUAUACUAUAUAUGUAAUCGCUCUAUAUAGAUAACAUGCUCUGCAUAUAUCUAUAUAUUGGUAUGUAUAUACUAUAUCCACACAGGAAGCAGGCUUGGUAUGGAAUUUUCCGAAGCUGUAGCCUUCUCUAUUGUCCUGUCCCUGAAGAUUAUUUUUUUGUGUUUCUUCAAAACUGAAAAUAAGACAUGGUUGGCUCACUGCGGAUGUAAUUGUGCACAUGCCAAUACUUUCCCCUUGAUACUAUCUCCCUCUGAGAGCUGCGGCUUGGGUGCCUGCCUCACCUCAUGGCCUCCUGUCAGCGCAGCUUUGUCCCCAUUCCUUCAGUCACCGAGCGUGGCACGAUGACCCAGACACACGUCAGUCAGAUUGAACAUUUUGAAACAACCAUUAUCUCUUCCUUAUUCAACUUUUUCCCCUCAUUUUCAAGCAAAAUGAAAGAUGUAAACUGAAACUGUUUCUUUUGUUGUUAUGAAUGAAUCCUCGGUAUUUACUAAGCAAACAUUGGAUUUAUUUUUGUUUCUUUUCAUAAAAAGGGUAAUUAAGAUUCUGCCUGCUGAUAUGUGCUAGAAGAGCUUCAAAUGUGAAGAUGAAAACAAUUCUAGUGACUACUAGGUCUCUAUUUAGAACGCUACAUUAACUAUAUUGUACUUGGUAUUCUGAAGUCUCAAACAAUGAAUAAAAAAGAUAAACUCCA
Molecule: RNA transcript, 2638 nt
Organism: Coregonus clupeaformis (lake whitefish)
Lineage: Eukaryota; Metazoa; Chordata; Actinopteri; Salmoniformes; Salmonidae
Gene name: casein kinase I
Exons: 12
Source: RefSeq, a predicted model, not a curated record